CGAAGUUUGAAUUCUGAUGGACGCUGUUUGAAUUCUGAUGGAGUGGGUUGUUUCUUUUUUGGUAUAUUUAUAUGCUUUAUUUUUUUUUGGAUGUCUAAGUUAAAACAGAAUAAAAGGGGCAGCAGUUAGUGUGGGUGAGGGAGAACUCGAGAAACAAGAAAGAAAACCAGAGGAACGAAACCCACUCGACCUCAUUCUUCCUCUUCUUCACUUCUUCUUUUAUUUAUUUUUCUCUCUUUUCUUCUCCAAUUUUGUUUUCUUCUUUUUCGGACCAAAAAAACCAUGAGUAAUGAAGAUUGGGAUGAUGGCGCGAGAAUGCCCGUUAAGAGUAAUAGGCGAAAGGCCAAAGCGGGAGUGUCGAAAAGAGGGAACCAAACCAGUGGGAUAAUUCCUUGCAGGUUUGGGGUGUUAUGGUAAUGCUGAAAAGGUUAGGCUCUAAGUAAAUUGGUAUUUCUGGGUUAUAACUGUUGAGUCUCUUUUGGUUGUAUAUACAUGUGCAGAAACGUGAGUUUGUUCUGUUUGUAUGGGCUGGAAUGAAUUUGAUUGUG
This 548-nucleotide small RNA is filed under the name Vigna angularis var. angularis. Its description in RNAcentral is "Non-protein coding transcript". Lineage: Eukaryota; Viridiplantae; Streptophyta; Magnoliopsida; Fabales; Fabaceae. The record is from RNAcentral.